UUUUUGGUUUUUUUUU
RNAcentral lists this small RNA (16 nucleotides) under Arabidopsis thaliana (thale cress). RNAcentral describes it as "ATSL078920". The record is from RNAcentral. Lineage: Eukaryota; Viridiplantae; Streptophyta; Magnoliopsida; Brassicales; Brassicaceae.